Long non-coding RNA from Panicum virgatum (switchgrass), 2164 nucleotides. RefSeq lists it as uncharacterized. The record is from RefSeq and is a predicted model, not a curated record. Lineage: Eukaryota; Viridiplantae; Streptophyta; Magnoliopsida; Poales; Poaceae. The transcript is spliced from 4 exons.
UCUCCAUCCCAGAGCCUACGGUAGGUCGGCCCGGCGAAGGAGACGGACGUGGGAGCGGUGAGGUCGGCCGACGGCGGUCGGGCCGGCGCCGAGGCGGGGAGUUUGACGGCGGCGGGGGCGGCGGCGGCGGCGGCGUUGGAGGGUGGCUGGCGCGGGCGGAGCUCUGCGGCGGAACCCUAGCCCGCCCCAGCCGGUGGUGUGGGGAUGGGACUGGGGGGCCGCGAGCACAUGCGCAGGGUCAAUGCAGCCUCGACCCACACGCAAGCGUCCUGAUGCGGCCGUGUUGAUCCCUAACUGCUCCCUUCAAAUCAGGAGAUGAAGAUCACCACACUCCUGGAGCUGAAGCCGUCGACCUCCGGCACUAGGAGCUCCUCGUCCGGCGGCGGGUCGGGUCCGGAGGCGAUGGUGCUCUUGAGUCACUUCGGCUACUUCCAGCGCAGCGCCGCCCGCGAGUUCAUCGUCUUCGUCGCCAAACCAUUGCGCAACGCACCCAGCUGGGCCAGCGGCAGUCCGUCCAGCACAAAGAUCAGCUGGUAGUUUGAUUUCUGGAGCAAGGAAGAAUGGUGAAAUUGUUUGGAUUGCGAGUGGGAAAGUAGUGACGUCUGUUGAUACAUGAUGUUCUAACUGAUCUUAUUCAUCAUUCGUAGUAUUUCAUUUGAUCUCUUCACAUGUCAAUUAUAGGUCUGCGAUUCAUCUGCCAUUGCUGUUCCUCGUACCAAAUUUUGUAAUCUCCUUGCCAUGAGCUGAAAGGCGUGUUGCUACUACAGCCCGGCCCGACGAAACCGCUCACUGUACUACUUCCGGUCCGCUCCAGCGAAAUGCUCAGACCUCAUGGAUUCUUCACUCCAAGCACAGAAAUGGCAAAUGACAAUUUUGUGAAGGCAACAGAGUAUUUCUAGAAGGCUGUUGACGUGGAGGCCCGGCAGCGCGGCCUCGGGGCGAGGUGGGCGCGGCUGCCAGGCGGGGUGGCGCCGCGGCCUCAAGGCAGCGGGGUGGCUCGGCUUCCAGGCGGCGUGGCCUACCAGGUGGCCCGGCAGGCGCGGCCUCCAGGAGGGCCCACGGCGCGGUGUCCUCGCAGGGGUGCCACCGGCAGGGGGCGCGGGGCAGGGGGGGUGUGCGGGCGGCGAGACGAAGCCAGGCGGCGGCGGCCAAACUGGGUACCAGAUGGAUGUAGAGAGGGGUAAAAACGUCUAUAUGGAAAAAUACAAGGAAGGAAUACACUGCGGGUGGGCCCAAGCAGGGGAAAGAGGUAUCCUAAUGGCAUAUCUCCAAUAUGAUGAAUUGUAGUAGCAUAUCUCCAACUUGUGAAAGUUGUAAUGGUACCAAUCCAAAUAACCCUUGUUAUUAUUCUAUAAACAGAAUAUAAAAGAAAGCUAGCGAAGAUACAAAAGACAAGUACCCCUUUGGUUGAAGAAGUAAGCAAUCAACUUACAUUUGUUCUUUGUCCUUAUUCUGCACAACAGAUACAAUAUUUCCUCUAGUCUUUCAACUUUUUCUAGAUAGAAUCUUUGAGAAGGUUCAAGCUGAAGGAGGAAAUUAUUGAUGCAGAAUACACUCUAACAUGUGAUAGAAUUGUGAGCCUGAAGACAAGGUCGGUUCUCCUAAGAACUGUAGACUGUAGCAAUUAGUUCUCAUGCAAAUUAUAAUCUUGAUCAGAAGUUCCUAUCAUAAUUAUGUGGUUAAUUGGAUCUUAUCAGUAUUAAUCUGGUUUAUUGAUCUCCCAUAGUGUUUGUCAUUGUACUGUUAUAUAACAUAAAACUGAGCUUCGACUGGUUCAUUGUUUUUAACUUGCCCCACUUUACUUGGUAUUGGGGCUCACAUUAAUACCCUUGCGCCCUUGUUUCAUUAUUUGCUUCUGAGCACAUGUUUCUAUUUACUAUAUUGUUAAUAAUUGAUGAAAUAGAAUUUGCAUGUUCUUAUAGGUGAAAGCAGUUGGAGAGGAAAUGGGAAUAUUAUUUCUUGGACUUAGCUUUGAGCUGAAAUAGGCAUCGAGUGAUAUGUUGUCUUAUUUUCAUUUCUACACAAGAUAAUAGUGGAUUUAUAUGAGUUCAAUAAAUUAGGACUGCAUUUGUAAUGUAUAUAAUGGAUAAAGCAUGCGAAUUUGUGAUGCAAAGAAUGGAUAAAACAUGUGUAUAGAUGGAUAUAUUCUAUCCUCCUUUUUUCU